GAUGAACGCUGGCGGCGUGCUUAACACAUGCGAGUCGAACGGAAAGGCUCCUGCUUGCAGGGGUACUCGAGUGGCGAACGGGUGAGUAACACGUGGGUGAUCUGCCCUGCACUUCGGGAUAAGCCUGGGAAACUGGGUCUAAUACCGGAUAGGACGAUGGUUUGGAUGCCAUUGUGGAAAGUUUUUCGGUGUGGGAUGAGCUCGCGGCCUAUCAGCUUGUUGGUGGGGUAAUGGCCUACCAAGGCGUCGACGGGUAGCCGGCCUGAGAGGGUGUACGGCCACAUUGGGACUGAGAUACGGCCCAGACUCCUACGGGAGGCAGCAGUGGGGAAUAUUGCACAAUGGGCGCAAGCCUGAUGCAGCGACGCCGCGUGGGGGAUGACGGCCUUCGGGUUGUAAACUCCUUUCGCUAGGGACGAAGCGUUUUGUGACGGUACCUGGAGAAGAAGCACCGGCUAACUACGUG
This 466-nucleotide ribosomal RNA is filed under the name uncultured bacterium. RNAcentral describes it as "partial 16S ribosomal RNA". It matches the Rfam family "Bacterial small subunit ribosomal RNA", at positions 28 to 507 of the family's 1533-position model. The record is from RNAcentral.